This 1153-nucleotide long non-coding RNA is filed under the name Microcebus murinus (gray mouse lemur). RNAcentral describes it as "lncRNA (ENSMICG00000048753.1)". The record is from RNAcentral. Lineage: Eukaryota; Metazoa; Chordata; Mammalia; Primates; Cheirogaleidae.
AAACUUAAAGUUUUGCUGGAGAACAUAGUUUGCAAGAGAUGAGUAGAGGGGACAGUGAGAAGCAAAGGAAGAGACAGCAGAGCUCUAGGAGCAGAGACUCUUUAUAUCCUGGCACUAAUUCCUGCAGGGAUUUUUGUGUGAUGGCCUUGUCUCCUUACCUCAUGUCUGUGUCUGAUGGAGCAGUGUCUAUGGGAUUCUGAUACUUCCCUCUAACAAAUGCCUGUGCGAGGUGACACUUUUUAAUAACAUGUUUUUUUCACUGAGUAAUUCAUCAUACUUUUUUCUAUAUCGCCAUAUAUUCUCCUACAUUAUAAUUUUGAUGGGUGCACAGUAACUACUGUGUAUAUUCUGGUAUUUAUGGGAGAAGCGCAAUUUAUGGGAGAAGCUUGAGCUCUGCUAUUAAACAGCACUGAGUUCAAAUGCCCACCCUGACACUUGUUUGUUAUGUGAUUUGGACAAAUUAUUGAAACACCCUAUGUUUCACCCCCAGUUCCCUCAUCUGUAAAAUGGGCACAACAGUAAGUUUGCAUAAUAUAAUGAAUCUUAAAUUUUCCCAGUACAUUAUCUGUCACAUAAGUCAGGACUCGGUAAAUUUCACCUGUUAUUAUUAAUAAUCACAAAACAAGUCCUUGUUAUUGCUCAUAUAACAGCAUCCCUACAUUUGAGCAUUAGAAUUGCAAUGAACGUCCUUGUAGUCAAGUAUUUGUACAUGAUUAUUCUUUGGAAUAAAUGCCCAGACGUUGCAUUAUUGGCCCAAAGAUUAUGGGCAUUAAAAAUGUUUUUAAAACAUGCAUUGCCAUUGCUAUCUUUGACUCUUGUAAGUUAUCCACCACUCCCAGCCUUUACUGUCUUCUUCUUGACCACAGGUUUAGAGACAUGUUUCGUUCUCUGUCCAGGAUGUGGUCUAUGUUCAUCUUCCAACACAAUUAAAAUGUUGUCACAUCAACAUUGGAGUUGGGGCUCUUUGAGCUUAUGGAUGCUAUCCCGAAGAAGUCAAGACGGAUGCCCUUCUCUAAUGAGACUGUCUAGCAGGCAGAGAGACACUCUUUCCUGGCAUCUGGUUGUCACACGGUGUCCUUCAGCCUCUCUUCUGGACAAGCUGGACCAAUCAUUUUGGAGGAAAGAUGUCUUUGGUCUACAAUAUGAUAUUUGA